Molecule: long non-coding RNA, 143 nt
Organism: Thalassophryne amazonica
Lineage: Eukaryota; Metazoa; Chordata; Actinopteri; Batrachoidiformes; Batrachoididae
Exons: 3
Source: RefSeq, a predicted model, not a curated record
GUGUGCACAGUGACUGAGGGAGCUCAAUCCUGAGUGUGCAUAGUAAAGAGCCAUGCACAGCUGACUGAGUGUGCAUUGUGCUGAUUGUGCACAGAGCUGAGCGUGCACAGAGCUGAGCGUGCGCUGUGCUGAGGGUGCGCAGA